CAGCCGCCGCGGUAAUACGUAGGGUGCGAGCGUUACCCGGAUUUACUGGGCGUAAAGCGCGCGUAGGUGGUUUGUUAAGUUGGAUGUGAAAUCCCCGGGCUCAACCUGGGAACUGCAUUCAAAACUGACUGACUAGAGUAUGGUAGAGGGUGGUGGAAUUUCCUGUGUAGCGGUGAAAUGCGUAGAUAUAGGAAGGAACACCAGUGGCGAAGGCGACCACCUGGACUAAUACUGACACUGAGGUGCGAAAGCGUGGGGAGCAAACAGGAUUAGAUACCCGCGUAGUCCCUGUCUCUUAUAC
This 301-nucleotide ribosomal RNA is filed under the name uncultured bacterium. RNAcentral describes it as "partial 16S ribosomal RNA". It matches the Rfam family "Bacterial small subunit ribosomal RNA", at positions 509 to 807 of the family's 1533-position model. The record is from RNAcentral.